AACGCUAGCGGCAAGCCUAACACAUGCAAGUCGAACGGUAACUUUUGGUGCUUGCACCGAAAGACGAGUGGCGAACGGGUGCGUAACGCGUAUGCAAUCUACCUUUUACUAGGGUAUAGCCCGAAGAAAUUUGGAUUAAUCCCCUAUAAUAUCAUGAAUUCGCAUGAUUUUAUGAUUAAAGCUUCGGCGGUAAAAGAUGAGCAUGCGUCCUAUUAGUUAGUAGGUGAGGUAACGGCUCACCUAGACUACGAUAGGUAGGGGUCCUGAGAGGGAGAUCCCCCACACUGGUACUGAGACACGGACCAGACUCCUACGGGAGGCAGCAGUGAGGAAUAUUGGACAAUGGACGAAAGUCUGAUCCAGCUAUGCCGCGUGCAGGAUGACGGCCCUAUGGGUUGUAAACUGCUUUUAUACAGGAAGAAAAAAUCCGACGUGUCGGAUCUUGACGGUACUGUAAGAAUAAGGAUCGGCUAAC
This 475-nucleotide ribosomal RNA is filed under the name uncultured Bacteroidota bacterium. RNAcentral describes it as "bacterial SSU rRNA". It matches the Rfam family "Bacterial small subunit ribosomal RNA", at positions 32 to 501 of the family's 1533-position model. The record is from RNAcentral. Lineage: Bacteria; Pseudomonadati; Bacteroidota.